GUUCUAUUUUGUGGUUUCUAGGAUCACGUAAUGAGUUAAUAGGGAGUAGUUGGGGGCAUUAGUAUUUCAAUUGUCAGAGGUUGAAAUUCUUGGAUUUAUUGAAGACUAACUUCUGCGAAAGCAUUUGCCAAGGAUGUUUUCAUUUAAUCAAGAACGAAAGUUAGGGGAUCGAAGACGAUCAGAUACCGUCGUAGUCUUAACCAUAAACUAUGCCGACUAGGGAUCGGACGAUGUUAAUUUUAAUGACUCG
RNAcentral lists this ribosomal RNA (250 nucleotides) under uncultured Glomeromycotina. Its description in RNAcentral is "partial small subunit ribosomal RNA". It matches the Rfam family "Eukaryotic small subunit ribosomal RNA", at positions 834 to 1078 of the family's 1831-position model. Lineage: Eukaryota; Fungi; Glomeromycota. The record is from RNAcentral.